GUCAUAUGGAUUUUUGGAAUCUACAGAUUUGCAUUUGACAUAUUUGUGGAUUGAAUUGAUUAACCAAAUUUAUCUGUUUGGACGUUAAAAAAUCUAUCCAUUGUGCAAAACAAUUUUCUCGCCGGCAAAUAUUGUUCUGGGAUAAAUCAUUCUGACGCAACAAAAUUGGUCCUCAAAACGCCCUAUUCUUUUCUUGUCAUCCAAUCAAGAAUGAUAGAUAGAAGGUGUCGGAUCCCAUCCC
RNAcentral lists this long non-coding RNA (241 nucleotides) under Elaeis guineensis (African oil palm). Its description in RNAcentral is "long non-coding RNA (EGUI_LNC015209)". The record is from RNAcentral. Lineage: Eukaryota; Viridiplantae; Streptophyta; Magnoliopsida; Arecales; Arecaceae.